Molecule: non-coding RNA, 29 nt
Filed under: Homo sapiens (human)
Lineage: Eukaryota; Metazoa; Chordata; Mammalia; Primates; Hominidae
Source: RNAcentral
UGAAGGAUCGAAGGAUGACUGUGGUGGGA